RNAcentral lists this unclassified non-coding RNA (1564 nucleotides) under Hevea brasiliensis (rubber tree). Lineage: Eukaryota; Viridiplantae; Streptophyta; Magnoliopsida; Malpighiales; Euphorbiaceae. The record is from RNAcentral.
UUUCCUUGUUCACGUCAAAAUUAGAAAGUAAAAGAAUUCCAUCCACAUUCAGAUAUAAAAACCCAAAUAUUCUCUUUCAACCAACCAUUAAAGACUACUGAAAUAUUGAAAAUAACACUGAAAGUCAUCCAAACACAUUCAACUAUGUAUUCAUUAUGAUUUAAGUAGCCUUGGUAGCUUUAUGCACCAACAUAAACCAAACAAAUACACAGUUGUUAUUUAUUACUAAUACUUGAUCAACUAGAAAAUUGUAACUCCUUUUAAGCAGAAGCCUUAGCAAGAGCUCCAGCUUCAGUGAGCAGAGGAAUUAGCUUUCCUUCCUUAUGCAUGCCUGUUGUUGCUGCAAAAGACAGUAACAUAAACCCAUCAAUAUGCAAGUAACAAUGUAACAAUGGAGCCUGAUAACAAAGAAAAUUUUUUGAGACAACAGAGCAAAUUAAAGCCAUACUGUCACAGCCACCAAUGUGCUUGCCACUGAUGAAAACAUUCGGCACAGAUCGUUGUCCAGUCCACUCUGCCAAUGCUGAUUGUACCUGACUUCCAUCGCCUUCACAACAUGAAAAUCAAAUAAUAAGUAAUUGAUCAAAUGCAUUAAGGUCAAUGACUUAUAAUGCUGACCCAAUCACCAAAGAAUGGCUCUCCCUGUCUCACAUAAUGCAUUGAUCGUAUAUUUAACGGCUAAAUACAGAUAAGAGACAUAAAACCUCAGUAUAGAUUGCUUUUUCAAAUAUUACUAGUGCAAUUAAUUGCCCCAACUCCAUCACUGAUUCUGCUUAUUAUUUUCCUUAAUUUACCCUAUGUUUGAAUGGAGUACAUGAAGAUUUUUUUAAAUUACAGUAAGGUAAUGGAUGACAAGGGAAGAUAAAGGUAUCAAAACCUUCUGAAUCCACUAAUCUGAUGCGUUGUAGAAGCAGAGUUUUGAAGGUUUUAACUCCUUUGAAAAGAACCUUCCCCCCAAACAAACCCAUAACUUAACUCCAAAAACUUCAUUAAAAAAAAAAAAAACACUUGACAGUCAAAAAAAAAAAAAAUUUGGCUUAUUCUGAAGAAUUCUUUGAUUUUAAAAGGAAAUGAUAGAUAUUACUACUGCAGGAUUGGUAAAUAGCAACUCUAUAAAGCAGAAUUCAGGCAUAGAAAGCCAUUGUCAAUCAAAGGAAUACAGCUUAGAAUAUACGACCCAUAAAUUCUCCCAAAGCAUUGUAAAACAUAACAGAAAAAUAGUAUUAAGCUCCAAUUCGAUACAAUUAUCAAACAAAUAGAUAAAAGAAUAAAACUUAUUAUCUUUUCUCAGGAACCAAACAGAUAUGAGACAAGAGCAUAGCAAAACUAUAGAAAUUACCCUCAGUAUCCAACUCCACGGUCUUAUAAUUGGCUCCCAAUUCAUCCAAAAGCUUCUUCACGCUCGUGCAAUAGGGGCAGUACGUCUUGCUGAAAACGACAACAGAAUUGGAAGAAACGAGCUCCUUGGCCUUGGUCAUCGCCAUCUCUGCCUCUCAAUCGUUCUCUCAGUCUCUCAGUGCUCUCAAUUAUCGUAUAAUGUUUGUUUCCUUCCUGAUUCCCCGCC